UACGUAGGUGGCAAGCGUUGUCCGGAAUUAUUGGGCGUAAAGCGCGCGCAGGCGGUCCCUUAAGGCUGAUGUGAAAGCCCACGGCUCAACCGUGGAGGGUCAUUGGAAACUGGGGGACUUGAGUACAGAAGAGGGAAGCGGAAUUCCACGUGUAGCGGUGAAAUGCGUAGAGAUGUGGAGGAACACCAGUGGCGAAGGCGGCUUUCUGGUCUGUAACUGACGCUGAGGCGCGAAAGCGUGGGGAGCAAACAGG
This 253-nucleotide ribosomal RNA is filed under the name uncultured bacterium. Its description in RNAcentral is "partial 16S ribosomal RNA". It matches the Rfam family "Bacterial small subunit ribosomal RNA", at positions 524 to 776 of the family's 1533-position model. The record is from RNAcentral.